RNAcentral lists this long non-coding RNA (1863 nucleotides) under Betta splendens (Siamese fighting fish). Its description in RNAcentral is "lncRNA (ENSBSLG00000020967.1)". The record is from RNAcentral. Lineage: Eukaryota; Metazoa; Chordata; Actinopteri; Anabantiformes; Osphronemidae.
AACAUGAAUGCAGUACAUGAAGAAAGCCCAAUGACAGAAUGGUCUAAGGUCCGGACGGCGUCCCACAGGUGCAGGACACUGAGACCAGAGCUGGCAGCCGCUCUGCGUCAUGAUGAAAACGCUGGGUUACAGCAAUGACUGUUGGUGCGUGGGUGGUGGAGCAGGUUAGGAGUUUAUCAGAACAGGCAUGGGUCCUGACAUUUGGCUCACGCCUCUGUAAUGCUGUACCAGUACCUGUGGGCUCACGAUAAAUGUAGCUUCAUGUGUUUGGACCAUGUGAAGGUUUGGAUUCAUAAGUGAAAAGGUUCAAUGUCAGACUCUCAAACUGGUUUAUGGAUGUGGAAGAUCAAAUCGUAUAUGGAUCUGAUUGAAGUAUAUCACCUUUAAACUGUGGAGUCAGGAGCUCAGAGGUCAGGGUGGGAAGUGUGUCAUCAUAGUUUAAGUCCGCUGGGAUCAGAUGGAGGCAGCAGACGUCCACACAUCUGCUCCUUUACCUACUAGAUGGAUUGGGUGAAAGGGGCUGUAAAUGCUGACUGACACUGCUGGCAGCAGCCUCCAGCGCCCUGUAGGUGGCGCACUGCAGGCUUUGUGUCUGGGCUUUAGGUGUGACAGCAGCGCCAUCGUGUGACUUUUAUCCCAAACAGACUCUGGUUCCCUGUGUUCAUCAGAGCAGAAGUGUAUGGACAGUUAACCCUACUCAACCCUUAUGAUGGAACACAUUCAAGCACUGCUCUUUGAACAAGGCUGUGACUGGACCCACAAAGCUACGUCGAUACCAGUGAUGUCAGAUGAUACGGAUUCUCACAUACAUGUACGUAACGAUGGGGAAGGACCUUUUCUUUUGGGAUGCCAUUGGUUGGAUAUUAAUAAUCAUGAACUUCAGUUUGGCAUCGGGUGUAUGCUUAUUACAUCUCUCUGUAAAAUUAAAGACAGACACAGAAUUGGUCCAUUCAACAGGAGCAUCAUCAGGUGUCGUUCCCAGCACAGGAUGAUAAAACCAUUAUAAACCAUAAUAAUAAGGGCGAAGCAGCUCUAGUGUCACCGUAAGCGAGUACGAAACAUCAGUUUGGGGAAAGUGAACUAUUUAAUUUACUUUGAAUGAAAAUGCUAAUUAUUUGUAGUUAUUUGUGUAAAAUUCAUUUCCUUUUCUUAAUGUGUACGUCUCGUCCCAUCAGACAUUACAGUUUUUAUUAGUCGCUUUGACCUGUUUUGCAUAACUAGGUUCCACUUAUUUUCAUCUUCACCAUUCCAGCAGAGCAUAAGACACAUGAAGCAUAUUGUUCGCCCCUCCGGCCUGCUGGGGGCGCUUUAGGUUUCAGUCCUGUGUGCUUGAUGUCUCCUCUUAGUUGUUUCCUGUCUUGUAAUUGGUGUCAUUAUUUCCACCUGCAUAUUUAGUACUUCAGUUCCUGGUUUGAGUUCAGUCUUGUUGGUUCGUUGAGGACGUUACCUCUGUUUGGUGUUGCCAUCUUGUGCCCGUCCUGUCUCCAGUCAAGGUUUGUCUGGUCCCUGUGUUGUCCUCGUGUUUGUUGCAUGUUUUUAGUUUUGAGUUAUUAGUUUGUUUCUCCUUUGAGUUGUCUUCCUGCUUGUCUUUAUUUAUUAUUAAAUUAUUUGUAUCUGAUUCUUGUCCCUGGGUCAGUGCAUUGAUAUUGCACAGGAUAAAAGAUUGUCCAAACAUUUAGAUUAUGACUACAGUAUAAGGUGAGAUUAGUUAACAAUUAUCAGUGAUUCACUGGGAGCAGCUUAGGUUGUAAAGUCCUACAGCAGCAGGUAGAAACGACCUCCGGCGUUGCUCCUUCAGGCACUUAGGAUGUAUCAGUCUGUCACUGAAGGAGCUACAUAGUGAUGACACCGUUUCAUACAGGG